Molecule: ribosomal RNA, 499 nt
Filed under: uncultured bacterium
Lineage: Bacteria
Description: partial 16S ribosomal RNA
Rfam family: Bacterial small subunit ribosomal RNA
Source: RNAcentral
AUUGAACGCUGGCGGCAUGCCUUACACAUGCAAGUCGAACGGUAACAGGUCUUCGGACGCUGACGAGUGGCGAACGGGUGAGUAAUACAUCGGAACGUGCCCAGUCGUGGGGGAUAACUACUCGAAAGAGUAGCUAAUACCGCAUACGAUCUGAGGAUGAAAGCGGGGGACCUUCGGGCCUCGCGCGAUUGGAGCGGCCGAUGGCGGAUUAGGUAGUGGGUGGGAUAAAAGCUUACCAAGCCGACGAUCUGUAGCUGGUCUGAGAGGACGACCGGCCACCCUGGGACUGAGGCACAGCCCAGACUCCUACGGGAGGCAGCAGUGGGGAAUUUUGGACAAUGGGCGAAAGCCUGAUCCAGCAAUGUCGCGUGAAGGAUGAAGGCCUUCGGGUUGUAAACUGCUUUUGUACGGAACGAAAAAGCUUCUCCUAAUUCGAGAGGCCCAUGACGGUACCGUAAGAAUAAGCACCGGCUAACUACGUGCCAGCCGCCCGCAGUAA